Molecule: ribosomal RNA, 420 nt
Filed under: bacterium
Lineage: Bacteria
Description: partial 16S ribosomal RNA
Rfam family: Bacterial small subunit ribosomal RNA
Source: RNAcentral
UGGGGGAUAUUGCACAAUGGGCGAAAGCCUGAUGCAGCGACGCCGCGUGGGGGAUGAAGGCUUUCGGGUUGUAAACCUCUUUCGCUAUCGAACAAGGCCCGCUUAGGGUGGGUUGAGGGUAGGUGGAGAAGAAGCGCCGGCUAACUACGUGCCAGCAGCCGCGGUAAUACGUAGGGCGCGAGCGUUGUCCGGAAUUAUUGGGCGUAAAGGGCUUGUAGGCGGCUUGUUGCGCCUGCUGUGAAAACGCGGGGCUUAACUUCGCGCGUGCAGUGGGUACGGGCAGGCUUGAGUGUGGUAGGGGGGACUUGAAUUCCAGGUGUAGCGGUGGAAUGCGCAGAUAUCUGGAGGAACACCGAUGGCGAAGGCAGGUCACUGGGCCAUUACUGACGCUGAGGAGCGAAAGCAUGGGUAGCGAACAGG